Long non-coding RNA from Astyanax mexicanus (Mexican tetra), 1744 nucleotides. RefSeq lists it as uncharacterized. The transcript is spliced from 2 exons. The record is from RefSeq and is a predicted model, not a curated record. NCBI's taxonomy places the organism in Eukaryota, Metazoa, Chordata, Actinopteri, Characiformes, Acestrorhamphidae.
GACAGGCAGAGCUGUUACUGGGCUCUGGGUUAACCAUUUUUGGGCUUGGAUGGCCACCGUAGUGGAGGAGCAGCGGCUCCCCCUCCCCUCUGUGUUGUGCUAGAAAUGCUAGUUAGCUCAGUAUAAAAGCAUGGAUAGCAUGCUGCUGUGUUGAGCUCGUGGUUUCCUUUGUUGCUGGGUCGUGUUACUGCAGGACUUGCUGCUGGGUGGUUUCCUAAGGUACGUGUCUUUUGUGCAGUGGGGUUUUUGUUGAUUUUGAUCCACUCUAAAAUAACACAAACGCCUUGAUAUACAGGGGUGGUCUGCCGGAAAACGGGUGUGAAUGCGGUUAGCGGUUAGCCGUUAGCAUCAGCCGGCUCUGAGCAUCGUCGCAUAAAACUGCAGCUUGGUGUGGAUUUGGAGCUGUAUUGGAUGUAAGGUGUAUGCUCUGGCGUGCCGGAAAACGGGUGUGAACGCGGUUAGCGGUUAGCCGUUAGCAUCAGCUAACUCUGGGCAUCGUCGCAUAAAACUGCAGCUUGGUGUGGAUGUGGAGCUGUAUUGGAUGCAAGGUAGGCAUUUGGGGUGCAGCAACGCUUAUCUAGGUGGGGUUUUAACCAUAUGGCUGAUAUUUAUGGUAAAUGCCUCUUAUUUAGGUGUAUGCUCUGGCGUGCCGGAAAACAGGUGUGUUUUGACCGUAACAACGUAAGGUAGGAGUUUUUUUUAGUAUUUUCCGGUUGGAGGGAAUUUUAGGCUUUGUUUAAAUAUAUUUGGGAUUUCAUUUGUAGAUUGGAGCAGGAACCCUGGGUGUAUUCUAGCCCAAGCAAGUGAUAAUUCAAGCCUACAGGUAUUGUUUGCUUGAUAGUUAUAGAGCUAACUCUCCCAAGCUAUCUGUCUAGUGCAAUUAUUUUAAUUAAUGUGUUUUUAUCAGGUGUUCAGCUGAAGUGUCGCCAUCGGAGAAGGCUGAGGUGGCACCAAGCCGAGCAGUCCCUAGUCUUCUGCUGUUUUGCCUAUGCUGUUUUGUUGGGGUUGAAUUAAUUUAAGAUUUAUUCAUUUAUUUUGUUCUUUUUUUAUUUCUGGGUGUUUAUUAUUUGUAUUAAAAAGACUGUUUUGUUUUCUUUUCUUUUUUUCCUUUUUUUUUGUUUCUGUUGGAAAUUGAUUUUGUUAUUUGUAUUUUUGUUAACUUGACCCCACCUUGUGUCAAUGGUGGCAGACCUCUUUGGGCCCUCCUAUAGGAAGCUGGCUGUUUAUUUGUUAGUGAUACUGGCCGUAAACUAAAUGGAAAAUUAAUAAGUAUAACAUUUAUUGUUACUAAUCUGUUUCUCUUUCUUGUAGAACAACUUGGUGCACGUGGUGUCCCCCUUGGGCCGACUGGUUACCUCCUCCUUGGGAAAUCUUUCCUUUUGCACUUGGUUUGCUGUGUUGGACUCACCCUUGGUUUGAGGUGUUGCGACGUGUGUGGGUGUGUGUGAGUACUCUGUGUGUGCUUGUAGAGGUUGUAUUUCUCCUUGGGAGGGAGGGCCCGGGCACAAGAAUUGUCCAGCACCAGUUAGCUACAGAAAGAUGAUAAUGCUAUGUUAAGACCCUAAACAGCCAGUAUCUCUAAUAUCCUUUUUUUUUAAGCGCAUUUUGUCCCAAGGCUCAGUGUAUACUUUUAAAGUUGUUUUUUUUUUUUAAAAAAAACUUUAAUUGCUUAAUAAAGUGUUUAUGUAUUUCCUGUAUCUACUAUUUCAAACUUGAAUAAGUAAAGAUUUUAUGCUGAACCUCA